Carya illinoinensis is the source of this 651-nucleotide long non-coding RNA. RefSeq lists it as uncharacterized. The record is from RefSeq and is a predicted model, not a curated record. NCBI's taxonomy places the organism in Eukaryota, Viridiplantae, Streptophyta, Magnoliopsida, Fagales, Juglandaceae. The transcript is spliced from 2 exons.
CAUACUCGCAUCUCUCUCUAGCCACCGAAACUCAUCCAUGAAAUCAAAACCCAUAAAAAUAGUUUUACCGUAACCCCUAACCCUCCCUCACGAUCUGUAUAAAACCGAAACCCAAAAAUAGUCCUCCCUCUCGAUCUCCAUAAAAUCGAAACCCAAAAGCCCCCUCUCUCUCGAUCUCCAUAAAACCGAAGAACAAAUCGUGAAAAAUAGAAUGAAUCAAUGUUAGUUCAAGUUCUUGGACUUCAAGAGCAAAAGAUGAAGCUGCUAUUUUGGAGAGACCACUUUGCCAUUGUGAGAUUCCAUCAAAACUAAGGAUUUCUGCCAAACAUACUAGUUUUGGCAGACGGUUUUUUAAUUGUCUAAACUAUAAGAUGAAGAAACAAUUCUUAUUUUUUCAAUGGAUUGAUUUUGAAAUGGAACAAAACAGUUGCUGCAAAAUGACAAUAGAGUUAGCUCAAAGAAGGAACGACAAGAUCAAUUAAGAACGUGUAAUGGCUGAAGAAGCAAAGUUUAAAACUAUGGAAAAGAAGUAUAAGGGAACAUUAUUCUUGUUAUGGUUCUGUAUUAUUGUACUUUGUGCUGUAAUUAUGUUGAAGUUUGAACGAUAAACAACUCAAUAAAUGUAAUCCUUGAAAAUGAGCUUGAUGUAUA